GAGCAAUCAUUGUACCCUUGAGUUGCUCGAAGAAGACCUUGUAUUCCUCCUUUUGUGGA
Molecule: small RNA, 59 nt
Filed under: Arabidopsis thaliana (thale cress)
Lineage: Eukaryota; Viridiplantae; Streptophyta; Magnoliopsida; Brassicales; Brassicaceae
Description: ATSL152780
Source: RNAcentral